GCUGGGCAUGGUGGCACAUGCCUGUAGUCCCAGCUACUUGGGAGGCUGAGGCAGGAGAAUCACUUGAACCCAGGAGGCAGAGUGCAGUGAGCCAAGAUUGUGCCACUGCACUCCAGCCUGGGCGACAGAGUGAAAUCCUGUCUCAA
Molecule: non-coding RNA, 146 nt
Filed under: Pan troglodytes (chimpanzee)
Lineage: Eukaryota; Metazoa; Chordata; Mammalia; Primates; Hominidae
Source: Rfam by way of RNAcentral